This 73-nucleotide transfer RNA is filed under the name Ecklonia arborea. Its description in RNAcentral is "tRNA-Ala". It matches the Rfam family "tRNA". Rfam says of the family: Transfer RNA (tRNA) molecules are approximately 80 nucleotides in length. Their secondary structure includes four short double-helical elements and three loops (D, anti-codon, and T loops). The record is from RNAcentral. Lineage: Eukaryota; Phaeophyceae; Laminariales; Lessoniaceae.
GGGGAUAUAACUCAGUUGGUAGAGUGUGUGCUUUGCAAGCAUGAAGUCAAGAGUUCAAAUCUCUUUAUCUCCU